RNAcentral lists this ribosomal RNA (254 nucleotides) under uncultured bacterium. RNAcentral's name for it is "partial 16S ribosomal RNA". It matches the Rfam family "Bacterial small subunit ribosomal RNA", at positions 524 to 776 of the family's 1533-position model. The record is from RNAcentral.
UACGAGUGCCCCAAGCGUUAUCCGGAAUUACUGGGCGUAAAGGGUGUGUAGGUGGUUGUGUUAGUCUCUUGUUAAAUUCUUCGGCUCAACCGGGGGCAUGCGGGAGAAACGGCACUGACUAGAGGAUACGAGGGGUGAAUGGAACUCAUGGAGUAGGGGUGAAAUCCGUUGAUAUCAUGGGGAACACCAAAAGCGAAGGCAGUUCACUGGCGUACUCCUGACACUGAAACACGAAAGCGUAGGUAGCGAAUGGG